GAGGAAGAGAGAACAAACACAUUUUUUGGUAUGGUUAAGUCCUAUACUUUGGUAGACAUUAUGGUGCCCAGGCAGAUGCCUUUCUAAUUACACAAAAGCAUUACACAAGAUGUGGUUUGAAUAUACUUGGCCCGUGAGAAGUGGCACUAUUAGGAGGUGUGGCCUUGUUGAAGGAAGUCUCACUGUGUAGGCGGGCUUUGAGGGCUACCAGUGCUCAAGCUCCACGCAGUACAGAAGAGAGUCACCUGGCUACCUCAGUUCAGGAUGUAGAACUCUCAUCUCCUUCUCUGGAACCAUGUCUGUCUGCGGGCUACCAUGCUCCUGCCAUGAUGAUAAUGGACUGAACCUCUGAAACUGCCAAAAUACCCAAGCCACGUGGACAAUCUCCCCCUGUAACUAUGCUAACCCAACUCAGUGACCUCAGCAAGGUGGAGACAGCCGCCCUGUGACUUGGCUGCCAUCCUGAGCGACGUCAUCAAGAUGGCAUAAACUAUACCAUCUGACCUUGGCUAGUAACAUCAUCCAGAUGAGGAAGACCAAAUGACUUCACCAUCCAUAAAGCUUUCUGCCACGGCUGAGCCCUCAGACUCCAUCCCUAGAAUUUCCUGUGCCAUGUCCCUGCCCUCUUCUCCAUUUUUUUUUCCUCUUUGGUUUUUACCUUCUUGGAUGCCUAACGGAAUCCUGGAAAUGGGAGAAGAGAAGAUUCCAUCAUGGACACUCACUGCCAAGCUCCAUGCUAUGCUUUCUCUGACAGAGAUAGAGUCUUUUCCUUCGUGGGACUCCUUUGCUCCACGUUUAUUAUCCACUUCUCCACAUCCAGCCCUGGGCCCCUCGCUUCUGUUUCAACUUUCCACUUACAGUGACAGGUGACAGAGGAAGAACAAGUGGAUGCCACCCCUUUCCAAGAACUUCGGCAUCACAGUUUUAUCGGAGCCUCCUUAGCCAAGUCAGUGGGAGACUGCAAACAGCAACUUGAUGUUUAAUUGUGUGUUUCUGCUUUUCUCAGUCUGCUACUUGCCAAAAGCACUUCGUUCCCCGGAUUGUGCAAAGCACAAAUAAAGAGUUUUGACUGCCCUA
Rattus norvegicus (Norway rat) is the source of this 1077-nucleotide non-coding RNA. The record is from RefSeq and is a predicted model, not a curated record. NCBI's taxonomy places the organism in Eukaryota, Metazoa, Chordata, Mammalia, Rodentia, Muridae.